AUUGAACGCUGGCGGCAUGCUUUACACAUGCAAGUCGAACGGCAGCGCGGGCUUCGGCCUGGCGGCGAGUGGCGAACGGGUGAGUAAUGCAUCGGAACGUGCCCAGUAGUGGGGGAUAGCCCGGCGAAAGCCGGAUUAAUACCGCAUACGACCUGAGGGUGAAAGCGGGGGACCGAAAGGCCUCGCGCCAUUGGAGCGGCCGAUGUCGGAUUAGCUAGUUGGUGGGGUAAAGGCUUACCAAGGCGACGAUCCGUAGCUGGUCUGAGAGGACGACCAGCCACACUGGGACUGAGACACGGCCCAGACUCCUACGGGAGGCAGCAGUGGGGAAUUUUGGACAAUGGGGGCAACCCUGAUCCAGCCAUGCCGCGUGCGGGAAGAAGGCCUUCGGGUUGUAAAACGCUUUUGUUCGGGAAGAAAUCCUCUGGGCUAAUACCCCGGGGGGAUGACGGUACCGGAAGAAUAAGCACCGGCUAACUACGUG
Molecule: ribosomal RNA, 484 nt
Filed under: uncultured bacterium
Lineage: Bacteria
Description: partial 16S ribosomal RNA
Rfam family: Bacterial small subunit ribosomal RNA
Source: RNAcentral